AUAUUUUAAAAUUCCCUCAUAUGCAGCCAAGGAAGAGAUCCACUGAUCUCAGAUGUCUGUUUCCCAAAUUUCUUCACUUUUGUUUUUCUAGCCGUUUCUUGGACACAGCUGUUGAAAGCUGGACUUGCCCCCAAAUUCAAUUCUGCUAUGAGAUUUUUCUCGUGUGUGUGUGUGUGUGUGUGUGUGUGUGUAUGUGUGUGUGUGUGCACGCACACUUGCAGGCUCACAGGUGUACCUGAGAGAGUGAUGGGGAGGGGGAGGGAGAGAAAGAGUACAUGUGUUUUCUAGAAAGCCUCGUGAUCCUCUGAUCUGUAUCAAAAAUCACAUCUUCUUUAAGGCAUUGACCAUGGUUUCACUUUUGCUGAUGGUCUGGAAGAGCUUCCUUCGACAAGAGUAGGAAAUGUUUGCUGACUUGCAUCCCUUGUAAUGGGCAUCACCAUACCUUGUCUCACUUGACUCUCUCCGCAUCUCCACAUCCCUGGGAGGAAGCCCACUCUGGUCCUGAACUCUUAGGUAUUAAAUACAUGAGCUUGUUUCUUUGUCAUUGGUUGAGGUCCGGAGCACACUUUCUUUACACUGCAUUAUGAUAAUGAAGUUCUAGCACACUAGAGGAAUAAUCUGAUCUUUUGAUAUAAUAGGGAAAAAAAGGUUUUGCUGUACUGGAAUUAUAUCUAAAUAAAGACAUCUUUACACUGUGCCAAGGAUGGAGGAACGUUCUAGCAGGUUGGUCAAGUGGACGCAUUCAGGAUCCUCCCUCCUGACUUUGCUAAAUUAUUUCUGUGGCUGCUGCAGGUGGAACAUGCCUUGUGUUUCUUAGGAAACCACCUCCCCCGUCUGCCCUUUCUCCCUUGCUCCUCCAUCCCUUACCAUUUCACAAAGCUUGGUGAGUUGUAAAAAUAUCUCAUGUUGCAUUUAAAGUCCGUUAGUCUGUAAAUCACAUCCUGAUGGGCUCUGGCAAACACAGGUAUUCGGCCAUGUGGAAGCAUAUGGGUUGUUGUUGAAUUGAUGCCCCAUCUUAAUAACAGCCACCACCCCCCACUGGAGUGUUGAAGCCUAAAAUGAGAUGCCAGUGAAUAAGUCUGAAGCAAUGCAUGUAAAGUCCUGAGCAUAGUUCUUAUCAUAUAGUAACAUGCUCAGUAAUCAUCAGCUCUUGAUCACUUGUGCCUGUGGAAACCAGAGGGGUAGAUGAAAUCAGCCCUCCAUAUCCUUACUGCUUAUUCUUUUCUCUUGCUUUUCCUUCUCCCUGGAGGGUUCCCCUCCCAGAUCACUGCCUGGCUCCCUCACUGCAUUCAGGUCUGUGCCCAGAAUAAACUCCAAGAGGUUGUCUAGAAUGAUCCAGCCCAUCCCUGUUCACACCUUUAUACUCCUACUUUAUUCUUCCUUGUCGGCCAUGUCACAACUAUCACAUUACAAGUGGUUUAUACUUUGGCUGCCCCAUACUCCCCAUUACAAUAUAGACCCCCGUGAGAGAAGGGUUGUGGAUGCCUGGUACUGCCACACAGUUGGUGCUCAAUAAAUGGUUGUUGGUGAAUGAGUUGGAGGGUCAAGACUGAUGACAGGGAAAGAGGUUCACAGGCUGCUGCUAUAAUCCUGUUAAGGACAGUUAAGAGGGGGUCAAGCGGGCUGGAUCCAAGACCUGUUUAAGCAAUAGAAGCAGCAGGAUAUGGCUAUUGACAGGCGUCUAGAUACAUAGGUUUCUUUCUUGGACAGCCUGGGUAGAUAGCAGUGCUGGUUACUCCCAAGAUGGGGAAUGUAGGGGGAAAGGCAGAGAUAUGGUAGCAGAGUGUGCAAACAAAUUCAGAGUCCUAAAUGGAUUUCAUUUGAGGAGCCUGAGGAAUGAAAAAUGGAGAGGCCCAGCAGACAGGUGACUAUCCAGAGAACAAUCCAGAAUAGCGACAUAGAUUCAGGAGCUGUGAAUGUGUGGCAGCUGAAACCACAAGGAUAGAUGAGAGCAGCCAGAGAGGGUGAGCAGAUAAAGGGGAAAUUAUCAGAGAAUAGGGUUUCGAAGGCUACAAUGAAGGGUUUAGCUUUGAUAAAGAGGAACGCAUCGAACCAUCAGUUUCCUGAGCAAACAGAACCCUUUGGCCUCAUCUAUACCUUUUACUUAUUGCCCUCCACACAUUCAAUAAAUUGUGUCAUCUGACGCUGUCUACUAUGGUGCUAUAGCACUAUGCUGGGUACUAGAAAUAAAGAGGAAAAAGACAGAGCCUCUGCUUAUUGUUUAGUGGGGGUGAGGCAAAUGUACACAGAAAUCAUUGCAGAACAGCUUCCUGCAUGCUAAAACAAGGAGAGGCGGGGAUUGCUGAGAGCUCAGAAGAGGGGUGGACGUGGUUUCUCACACAAGGUAGAGUUUCAGGGGUUCGUAAGUAUAUGCAAACCCUUGGGUGUUUUUCAGCACAGGGAACUUGUGGCUUUUUCUCACAUUCUUAAAGGGAUGCAUGAUGAGGAGUUCCCAUUGUGGCUUGGUGGAUUAAGGACCUGACAUAGUCUCCGCAAGUGGGAGAGGAUCUGGCAUUGCCACAAGCUGCGGCAUAGGUCACAGAGGCAGCUCAGAUCUGGUGUUGCUACGGCUGUGGCAUAGGCGGGCAGCUGCAGCUUCAAUUCGAGCGCUAGUCUGGGAACUUCCAUAUGCCGCAGGUGUGGCCAUAAAAAGAAAAGAGAAAAAGAAAUAAUAAAAGGCAUGAUGAGGUUAGUUUUUCAGGAAGCUCAUUCUGACAGUGUUACAAACUAGGCAAGGGCUGGUAAAAUAAAUACCAUUUCAGUAAAUUCUCUCUGGGGCUUGGGGCAUGGUGCCACUGGUGAUACUUAAUUGAAGUAGGGCCCUGAGAAGGACACUUGGAAGGCAAAGUACUGAGUUCAUUUGGGCCAAGUCAGCUGUGUGAGCCCCACGGUCCCUCCAGGGGAGCCCUGCCUGAGCUCUCCCCAGACAGACCGAAGUCCCAUCCAGAGAAUGGUCUGAGCUUGACAUUGACAUUUGAGAAUUAUCAGUAUUUUAAAGAGAGGGAGACUUGCAGCCCCUUCUCCCCACUAGGCGCAUGUUGUCUGCUCAGGCAAUGGAUGCCUCCUGGCUCCCCAGCUGCAUCGUAAGCUCCCUAAGGAAAAAGCUGCAUUUUCUAAUUCAUUUGCCUGCAUCAUCUGGAAGACUGAGCUGGAAUUUCCAGUUCUGGGCAAGAUAGAAUAGAUGCAUUUCCCCCUCACUAAAUACACCUUCAAACCCUGGAUAUUAUAUUAGAAAACAAAUGUUAAGACUGAAAGGGGAGUUCCCAUUGUGGUUCAUUGGUAACAAACCUGACUAGUAUCCAUGCAGAUGCAGGUUCGUUCCCCAACCCUGGCCUUGCUCAGUGGGUUAAGGAUCUGGCGUUGGCAUGAACUGUGGUAUGGGUCGCAGACACGGCUUGGAUCUUGGGUGGCUGUGGCUAUGAUGUAGGCCAGCAGCUACAGCUCUGGUUCAUCCCCUAGGCUGGGAACUUACAUAUGGCACAGGUGCGGCCCUGAAAAGCAAAAGCAAAAAAAAAAAAAAAGACAGAAAGAGAGUUCCCUGGUGGCACAGCAGGUUAAGAACCUGGCAUUGUCACUGCUGUGGCUCUGGAUUCCACUCUGGGCCCUGGAAAUUCUGCAGGCUGCAAGUGUGUCCGAAAGGGGAAGGGGGGGGUGGGUUGGGGAGAUAAGACUGAAAAAAAAAAAAAGGUGGACUAGCCAGGAACCUAAAAACUUGAGAAGCAGCAUGGCAGUGAGCUUCUUGGGAUUUCUUUAUGCCUCUAUACACCCCGGAGGGCACGCUGGAGAAGCCCCCUGCUCAGAAAUGCCCACGGGCCCAGACAAGAAAAGCUUGCCCUCUCUUGCCAAUGGACUAGGAAAUGGGCAGCCUAAUAAAAGAGCAACCGUUUUUUUCCUUCUUCUUUUUUUAUUUUUCUUUUUACAGCCACACCCGCAGCACAUGAAGUUCCCAGGCUAGGGGUUGAAUCAGAGCUGCAGCUGCGGUCUACACCACAGCCACAGCAACAUCAGAUCGAAGCCACGUAUGUGACCUAUACCACAACUCAUGGCAUCACCGGAUCCUUAACCCACUGAGCAAGGCAGGGAUUGAACCUGCGUCCUCACAGAGACAGUGUCAGGUCCUCAACCUUCUGAACCACAGUAGGAAUUCCCAAAACAGAAAUGUUUUCAACAAUAAAGAUUCUUCAGAAAAACACUGGAGAAGGUUGCAAGCUACCCCUCAGUGGGGGCGGGAGGGGUACCUCUUCACUGCCAGGCGAGGUUAGAGGUCCGGCUUUCCAUGAGACUUUGCUGAUGAAGUCGCAGGUAAGGGGGACAGGGGAGCGUCAGAGAGAUGCAAAGGGGAGCCUGGACUUCCAUCCCACCCAGGGGAAGAGUGCGCCCCUUCCCCUCUCCAAGGAGGCUGGGUGAGGAGCUGGCUCUCCAGUGGCUCCUGGUGGUUCUGAAGUGCCUUUCAAUCCUCGCCAGCAGGGUGGUACUGGGGGGGCCACGUGGGGCCUGAACUCUCGCCCCCGCCCAGCAGUAAGGCCUUGGUGCCCCUUUCCCUCCUGGUCCGUUAUUAGCGGAAGCCUGCUCACAUUGAGGGUUUAACUUAAAUCCAGAGUCUGAUGACAUAAUACCCAGAAUGACCAGGAUGUCAUCAAUAAUCACUCAUCUUCCCUAAAAUCGAGGAUUCACCUUGUUGACACACGUAGGCUAAGGAAAGUAAACAUAAAAUU
Molecule: long non-coding RNA, 4715 nt
Filed under: Sus scrofa (pig)
Lineage: Eukaryota; Metazoa; Chordata; Mammalia; Artiodactyla; Suidae
Description: lncRNA (ENSSSCG00060053555.1)
Source: RNAcentral